CGGCGUGCCUAACACAUGCAAGUCGUACGAGAAAGUUGGCUUCGGCCGAUGAGUAAAGUGGCGCACGGGUGAGUAAUGCGUGGAUAAUCUGCCCUUUAGUUGGGAAUAACGUACCGAAAGGUGCGCUAAUACCUGAUAAUACUGCAUAACUACUGUUGUGUAGUCAAAGAAGGCCUCUGUUUACAAGCUUUUGCUGAAGGAUGAGUCCGCGUACCAUUAGCUGGUUGGUGGGGUAAUGGCCUACCAAGGCUACGAUGGUUAGCUGGUCUGAGAGGAUGAUCAGCCACACUGGAACUGAGACACGGUCCAGACUCCUACGGGAGGCAGCAGUGAGGAAUAUUGCGCAAUGGGGGCAACCCUGACGCAGCAACGCCGCGUGAGUGAGGAAGGUUUUCGGACUGUAAAGCUCUGUCGAGCGGGAAGAAGUGUACCAUGGCUAAUAUCCAUGAUAUUUGACGGUACCGCUAGAGGAAGCACCGGCUAACUCCGUG
Molecule: ribosomal RNA, 491 nt
Filed under: uncultured bacterium
Lineage: Bacteria
Description: bacterial SSU rRNA
Rfam family: Bacterial small subunit ribosomal RNA
Source: RNAcentral